Molecule: ribosomal RNA, 402 nt
Rfam family: Bacterial small subunit ribosomal RNA
UGGGGAAUAUUGGUCAAUGGGGGAAACCCUGAACCAGCAACGCCGCGUGAAGGAAGAAGGCCCUCGGGUUGUAAACUUCUUUGACAGGGGACGAUAAUGACGGUACCCUGAAAACAAGCCACGGCUAACUACGUGCCAGCAGCCGCGGUAAUACGUAGGUGGCGAGCGUUGUCCGGAAUUACUGGGUGUAAAGGGCGUGUAGGCGGCUAUUUAAGUCAGAUGUGAAAUGCAGGGGCUCAACCCCUGAGCUGCAUUUGAAACUGAAUAGCUUGAGUGAUGGAGAGGCAGAUGGAAUUCCCAGUGUAGCGGUGAAAUGCGUAGAUAUUGGGAGGAACACCAGUGGCGAAGGCGAUCUGCUGGACAUUUACUGACGCUGAGGCGCGAAAGCGUGGGGAGCAAACA